CAGCAGCCGCGGUAAUACGAAGGGUGCAAGCGUUACUCGGAAUUACUGGGCGUAAAGCGUGCGUAGGUGGUGAGUUAAGUCUGUCGUGAAAGCCCCGGGCUCAACCUGGGAAUGGCGCCUGGGACUGGUUUGCUAGAGAUCGGGAGAGGAGCGUGGAAUUCCCAGUGUAGAGGUGAAAUUCGUAGAUAUUGGGAAGAACACCGGUGGCGAAGGCGGCGCUCUGGACCGAGACUGACGCUGAGGCGCGAAAGCGUGGGGAGCGAACGGGAUUAGAUACCCCGGUAGUCCCAGCCCUAAACGAUGGAUACUAGGUGUCGGGGGUAUCGACCCCUCCGGUGCCGCAGCUAACGCAGUAAGUAUCCCGCCUGGGGAGUACGGCCGCAAGGUUGAAACUCAAAGGAAUUGACGG
Molecule: ribosomal RNA, 409 nt
Filed under: uncultured bacterium
Lineage: Bacteria
Description: bacterial SSU rRNA
Rfam family: Bacterial small subunit ribosomal RNA
Source: RNAcentral